AGAACGACCAUUGGCAAUCCGGAAAAUCAUACAAAAAUAAAGGGAAAAAUAAUAAUUUAACAUAAAUGGUUCAAUGUUCAACAGCAAUCUAGAACAAGGGUAAAUCUGUCAAAGGACAAAAGAGAUAAAAUAUCUUCCCAGCUUUUUCUCCAUAAUUCCAAAAGACUCCCUUCAUCUGUUUGUUCCAACAUUUCUUCAUUCUUUGUUUUGACUACAGAUUUCUUUCCUAUUUUUUUUAGUUUUUGUAAUUUUCUGUGUAGGCUUCUUCUCGAUUUUCUUCGUAUUUGUCAAUUUUUAAGGAUUAAUUAUUGUGGAUUUAAUUAGUCGUUAUUGAAAAUCCCCCCGUCUAAUCGUGCAGAUUGAAUUUUUGAAAUUUUACUUGACAUGUAGUGUUGAAUUGAGGAUGUUAAAUUGGGUAUUUUCAGCUGUUUCUACCAGUUUUGAAGCUAUAGGUAGGGAUUUUAUCGCACCCUGUAAAUGUAGGGAUACAUCAAAGUAUGUUCACCGAGAAUGCCUUGAUCAGUGGUGUGCUGUUAAGGAAGGAUUUGCAUUUUCCCAUUGUACGACCUCCAAGGCUCCCUUUUACUUGAGAGUUAAUGAUCUUCAAAGAAAAUGGUGAACCUUAAAGUUUCGGUUCUUUGUGACCAGAGACAUUUUGUUCGUCUUUCUUGCAGUUCAGCUUGUUAUAGCUUUACUGGGUUAUUUAGUAUAUAAGAUUGAUACACACUAGAGAUUUUGGCUUCGUUUGCAUUGGGGGUUUGGUAGUGAACUGGGCUUCUAUUACAUAUGCGGUGAGGUCUUGGACUUCUGUGCGGAGGGUAUAAUACUUAAACUUAUUGAUUGGAUGAUUGUUGCUUCUGGGGGUGCUUAUGAUACAAAAAAUCUUCAGGAGUGCAUAGGAUCAACUGUUAUUGCUAUGGGACCAGAGAAACUGUUUGCGCUGUACCCAUCUCCCUGAAUACGAAGGAUUACUCUUUGUCAAACAGUUGGUUGAUUCCUGUUUUAAAUAAAUAUGUAUGUGGAUCAUCACUUCGGUUCUUUAUGAAGCAUGUGGUGCCACUUGCUGUGUCCUUCGAACAGGCAUCAUCAAAAGUUAAAAAAUUAGUAUUUGGAGAAGAACUGUAGGCUUAUGCCCGUGAGUGUUGGGGACUAUUACCUGCCUUUUGUCGCUGUCCAUCUGACCUUCACAAGAAGGCCCAAGCUUUGACUACACUUUUGAGUCCUUUUCUAAAGGAGAGCUCCUUUAUGCUCGAGAAUAUUUCUGCAGCUUUGCAGGAACUGGUGAAUAAGAAUAAAAAUGUACUUGCAUCUGAUACCUUAUCUAAAGAGCUUAUAGUCCACCAAACGGAGAAUGAAAAUCUUGAUUUGGUAUUGGAGUUCAAAUGCAAAUUCUCUUACUCAAAGAAGUCCGCUGGCAAAAAUAUUAAGGCUUUGGCUUCGUGCUCUGAGGAAUGGCUCAAGGCUUUAGUAAAUGUCUUUUUUUGAAUCAUCUCCUGCAAAGUACCAGCAGUUCAAGGAGUUACAACGUAUGAUGGCCUCGAAAGCUACCUCUAGCAGAGGUGUUACAGAUUCCUUAUAUGACGAUGACUCAAGCAGCACGUCCGAUGUCGAAACCAUGAAAGAAAGAUUUGCAAAGUUGUUGCUCGAGGACGAUGUGACCGGAGGAAGCGAGGGGGUUUCCACUGCAUUAGCAUUGUCCAACGCCAUUACAUAUCUUGCAGUUUAUGUGGCAGUUGUUUGGAUUAAGGCCGCCGUAAGUGUUAUGUAGAGGCUGCCAUACGUUACUUAUGGAUCAACGUGGGUCGACCAGUGUGAAAUGCUCCUGCUGUUAUACGGUGAACCUUGUCCCAGGUGGUUGGUUUUGGCUUUGACAUUUGGUUUUCAUCAUAGGCGGUUUCACAGCAACAACUACAUCCCCUAUUGUAGAAUUUAUAAAUAUUAUCUCUAGCAAUGUAAAUAGCCAACAAUUACUAUUAUAUGUAAAUGUGAACAUCUGGUAGUAUGUUAUUUUCAUGAUUGUAUAAAACAUACAUUUGAACUCAUUUUCAUUAACUGAUCCAACCAAAUGGAAUAGUCGGAAUA
RNA transcript from Capsicum annuum, 2082 nucleotides. It is a transcript of the gene named rop guanine nucleotide exchange factor 14-like, with no coding region annotated. The record is from RefSeq and is a predicted model, not a curated record. Lineage: Eukaryota; Viridiplantae; Streptophyta; Magnoliopsida; Solanales; Solanaceae. The transcript is spliced from 12 exons.